UCAACGCUGGCGGCGUGCCUAACACAUGCAAGUCGAACGCGAAAGGGGCUUCGGCCCUGAGUAGAGUGGCGAACGGGUGAGUAACACGUGGGUGACCUACCUUCGAAUGGGGGAUAACGUCCCGAAAGGGACGCUAAUACCGCAUAACAUCCUGCCUUUGAAGAGGCGGAGAUCAAAGCUGGGGAUCGCAAGACCUGGCGUUUGAAGAGGGGCCCGCGUCUGAUUAGCUAGUUGGUGAGGUAACGGCUCACCAAGGCGACGAUCAGUAUCCGGCCUGAGAGGGCGGACGGACACACUGGGACUGAGACACGGCCCAGACUCCUACGGGAGGCAGCAGUGGGGAAUUGUUCGCAAUGGGCGCAAGCCUGACGACGCAACGCCGCGUGGAGGAUGAAGGUCUUCGGAUUGUAAACUCCUGUUGCCCGGGACGAAAUGCUUCGACCUAACACGUCGGAGUUUGACGGUACCGGGUGAGGAAGCCCCGGCUAACUCUGUGCCAGCAGCCGCGGUAAUACAGAGGGGGCAAGCGUUGUACGGAAUUACUGGGCGUAAAGGGCGCGUAUGCGGCCUUCUAAGUC
RNAcentral lists this ribosomal RNA (578 nucleotides) under uncultured Acidobacteriota bacterium. Its description in RNAcentral is "bacterial SSU rRNA". It matches the Rfam family "Bacterial small subunit ribosomal RNA", at positions 30 to 589 of the family's 1533-position model. The record is from RNAcentral. Lineage: Bacteria; Pseudomonadati; Acidobacteriota.